Molecule: long non-coding RNA, 357 nt
Organism: Falco peregrinus (peregrine falcon)
Lineage: Eukaryota; Metazoa; Chordata; Aves; Falconiformes; Falconidae
Exons: 3
Source: RefSeq, a predicted model, not a curated record
CUGUUUGUGAUCCCCAUUGGUCUAACUGAGAUAACAACAGGGGCUUUUUUGUGGGAACUUGAAAGUCUAGAUAAGUGCAACCCGUACUGCCUGAGGUAUGAGUUUUUCAAAGACUUCCUUCCAUUAUUUCCAUUAAAUUUAGAAGAAGUUUUUCCUUUCUUCACCUUCAGCCAACUCCAUGCUGCUGGAAGUCCAUCUGGCAGUGAGGAAACCCUUUAUUUCAAGGAGGAGGGUUGCUCCAUAAGUGUUCAGCUCCAUCCAAACCCCACAAGGUUUCCAGUGGACUGGAGAUGGAUAAGGAGUUUCCCAAAGCGCAGUACCUCAUUGAUGGUGGUAUCCAGUUUCACAACUUCCCGG